AGCAGCAACACAAUAAAAUGUUUAAAAGGGACACAAUUAACCAUAAUAAAACACAAAAUGAACAAUAACACGCUCGGAAUGAGAGCAUAACUCAAAGAUCAAGAAAACACUUCAAGAUUAUGUGUAGAAUUAAACAAGGUGUCUAUACAUAGUAGUAGUGUUAAAUAAUAAUGAUAAUGAACCUUCACAUUUACGGUAAAGGUAAAGGUAACCUGCUCCUCCCACCUCCUCCUCGCUCCUCCCGCAGCGGCUCCUCCUGGGUGAGGUCAGCAGGUGGACGUUUCUCCUGCAGGUGGAUAAUGCGGCAACCGGGGAAGACGCUCCCGCCUCGCCGCUGCUCGUCUACCGUACGCGCAGUCGUCCCCCCCCACCCCCACCUCUGAUUUGACAACAAGCGACGUCACUCACUGAAAAGUACCAGGCUGCUGACGGAAGUACCACCGCGGGAAAACCAAAAUAAAAGCAUCACAUCUCAACUGAAAUAAUUCUCUUCUCCCCACUCCCAUCUCUGCUCUGCCUUCCUGAUUGGACCCAGCUGUGGACACUCACCUCAUCACCAUACCAGGUGUAUUUAAGUAGAUCCUUCAACUGGAAUUCAUUGCCAGUUCGUUGCCCCUCUAUGGUGCACUUCAUGUCAAGUUUCUUGUUCUUGCGUUUCAUGCUUUUACUAAUUGCGAUUCUUCACCUCGUCUUCAGGAAAUACUGCCAUGAGUGUCAAUCUGGGUCCUACGUCCACACGAGCAGUCAGUGCUUCCAAAGCCUCCAGCCACGCCACGACUCCAAGCCAAACCACGCUUCAACUCAACGUCACGCCACAGCUCACAGCCUCUACACCUGGACUCUUAAUCCAACAAAUGCUAAAUCAACUUACUUACCCACUGGUCCUUUUCCAGGGAAAAUAUAUCGGUUCAUUUCUUCUAUGGUUCUUCCGGGUUCCAGUGUCUGGGUCUGCUCAGUUAAAGCCGAUUGUGACAGUUUCUUUUUUGUCUGGGUUAUAGUCUGGAAUUCCCAACAGAAAGUUCUGAUAAGUUGUUUUAAAUCUUUUGUUUGAGAAAAUAUUUUUAAGGAAUAAAAUUUGGAAUAUUACGUGAUUAGUCUUGUGUACGGUAGCAGGAGUUAAAGGACUUCUAGAAUUUUUUUUUUUUUUAAUAUAUAAGAUUUGGUUUAGGGACAGAAUGUUUUUUUUUUUUUCUUCUCAUUGCUCCUUUCCUGUGAUGUGUGGAUUUAUAGAGUAUAUUGAGUUAAACAAGAAACCACCAAGCUUUAAAGUGAGGCUUUUAAAAUUGGGAGCAGAUUUAAUUGCAGAACCCCUUACAAUAAUAUUUAAUGUCUCAAUUAAAACUCAAUAAAUCCUAUCAGUCUGGAAAUACGAUUCUGCUCUCCCCUUAUUAAAAGGGGGAGAUCCUUCAAUGUUAAUUGUAGGAAAAUUUCAAACUUGUUUUUUCUAACGUUUUGAAUCCGAUGUUUGUAAUAAACUGAAAGAGUUCCUGAACUCUAACAAUCUUCUUUCCAAAUAUCAAUCAGGCUUCAGAAAAAAACAUAGUACCAGUACGGCUAUUAUGAAUACAGUUAAAGAUAUCAUUGAAGCAUUAAAUAAGAAACUGUGUGGCGCGACACUCUAUAUUGCUCUUUCAAAAGCUUUCGACACUGUUGACCAUGCUGUCCUGAAAAACAGACUGAUCAGCUUUGGAUUGUUAGAGCACGCAGUCGGUUGGUUCUCAAACUACUUAAAUAACAGAUCCCAGUCUGUUAAAUAUGAACAUUUGUAUUCUGAUUUUGUUGCUGUUCACUAAAGCUUUCCACAGGGUUCUGUUUUGUGCCCACUCCUAUUCAUCGUGUACACUAAUGAUCUAGUUCAAAAUAUUGAUGCUAACUUGCAUUUCUAUGCUGAUGACAUAGUUAUUGUUACGGUUCAGCUCUAGUUCAGACCAUUGAAACCCUGCAGAAAGCCUUUGUUGUUGUGCAGCAUUCGCUUGUUCACUUAAAGAGUUCAUAAUGCUGAUAAGACUGAGUUGACCUAAGUUUCUAAAAAAGUUUCUGAAGUUCUUCCUGUAGUGUCCACCCUUAAAAGAAACAUUAUCGAGGUAGUUCAUUAAUAUAAGUACCCAGGUGUCUGGAUUGAUGACUCCCUAACUUUUAACCCACACAUAGAAAAACUUGUAAAGAAAUUCAAACCAAAACUUGUUUUUGUCUUUUGCAAUAAGCAACGCUUUUCUUUUGAAGUAAAAAGCGACUUGUUGCUGCUACUAUUUUGCCUGUGAGCGAUUCUGGUGACAUUCUGUAAAUGAAUGACCCGUUAUCCUGUCUUCAAAUGUUAGACGCAAUGUUUCAUUCUGCUUUGAGGUUCAUAACUAACUGUAAAUCGAUGACACACCACUGUGACUUCCACACAAGAGUAAAAUGUCUUUCCCUGGCUA
This is a non-coding RNA of Oryzias latipes (Japanese medaka), 2417 nucleotides long. The record is from RefSeq and is a predicted model, not a curated record. Lineage: Eukaryota; Metazoa; Chordata; Actinopteri; Beloniformes; Adrianichthyidae.